UCGCCGUAAGGAUCGCGAUGGUAUCGAGGAUACCGAGUUGUUGGAUAUUCGUGAUGUUGUGCGAGAGUCGUGGGUAAAGAUCAAGCUCCUUGUGGUCAUUUACUGAUCGCUACGGUAUUGUUUAUACCAAGCUUGAUUUGAUCCUGAGAUGAUCGUGUGAUGUCCGAGGUUGGUAAGUGAUGCAUGUGUUGGUUACGAGGUAACCCGAGCAGAAUAAGUAGUGCAUGAUAGUGUCAUCAUGUUGCAUGCUAGUAUUGUCGGAUUAAUAUGUUCAUGUUGUGUUAGCUGUAUCAUGUUUAUGUCGGUCAUGCCAUGUUAUUCUGAUGAUCUCAUGAUAAUUCCUGUUUAACUUGUAAUUGCCAUGCUGUUGUCUGUCUUGAAUGCUUCUGGUUAUUGUGAGCUUGCAAGUACAUUCAAUGUACUGACCUGGCGUGUCAUGCCAGUUUGCAGGUCAUGCCGGAUUUGAUUGCUUGCUUGUCGUUGUUCCCGUUCGUGCGAGCUAGGAUAAUCGUUCCAGCCAGAGUCCCUGCGGAGUGGAGUUCACCACCGUCGUCGUUGUUCCGCUGCUAGAGUUAUUCCGCUGCUUUAAGUUGUUCUGCUGCUUGCAUAGAGCAACUGAGGAUGGCGUAGUAUCGCCGUGCCGAUGUUAUUCAUUGUAAUAUCGGAGACCUUGUAUUCAUUUUCGUGUAAUAAUAGAGAGCUGGUUUGUUCUAUGCUAAGCAGUGACGUAUUCCAGAAGACUUCUCCUCGAUCUCUGGGCUGGAAUACGGGGCGUUCUGGUUUUCUCUGAGCCGGGGUGCCACAGCGCUUGGUAUCAGAGCAGGUCUAGCUAUAGGACGCCCUAGACCGCGCGAAUGUUAGAAAGCGGUAGUAUAGACCCAAGUUUGUUUGUUGCACUUGAUUGCUGCAUUUGUUUGCUGCAUAGCAUGCAUAUAGCCUUAGUAUUUGUACUAACGGUUUAUCUGGUGAGUGUAGCUGGCAUCGGUUCGGAUCCACUACAGCUCAACCUUUGCAUUUCUCCAGUUCCUUUUUCUUUUGGUGUUUGGUGUUAUUUCUGUCCCAGCAGAGUGAUGCCAAGUGAUCCCGACACUGUUUGCAAAAAUGGUGCUCAGUUAUCGCACCGAUGUCUUUCCUUCAGUCCCGUCUAUCAUUUUGGUGAUGAACAUGCAUCUAUCCCAGAUCGUUCUUCUAUUUUGUCGUGUUGGCAACCCUUAAUGAUCUUAGUUAUCAAGAAAGGGCAAUGUCAGCAGCCUCAGUUUUUGCCCGCUAUCCUAUUUCUUGGACGAGUACGGAUCUUUUUCCGUCUGCUUGAUAAUAAUGUGGUUGCGACCUUCGUGUCCCACUGCAUGAUUACCGAGUACGUCCUCGCCUCCGAGCUAGUUCAGGUUGCCCCUGGCUAAGCCAACACUUGGUGUAGCGCUGCUUACACCAAAUCUUCCACACAUUUAUUCGUCCUCGUGCACAUCGUCACAGCAUAUUAGAUCGUAGUACCGGAGAUUCCGCGAAAUUUGUGUGCUUAAGUAGGCAUGCAUAUUGUGUGACUAGCAGUAAUAUGUGAUGCUUGCUCGAUUAAUUAUACUAGUAGAAUGCUUGUGUGCUUUUGUUUUAGUCAUUUCUGUUGUUCCUUUCUUUGGGCCUUCGGUGUUACAAUUUUUUCCCCUAUUAAAGUUGCUCGUCAGCCGACACUGGACCCGAAGAGUCAGUAAGAAAUGCAUAUAUUUGGAAAGUCAGCUAAACAGAAUGGAAUUAUCAGCUGACUGCAGUGAAAUUGGGAAUAGCUUGUCUGGAUGCAAAAGAAAUCCUGGAUGGGCCGUCAGUAUCAAGUUUGCAUUAGCUUGCACUCAUCACAACAAAAUGAUUAAAUCAGCAAGAAGAUAAAUUGUGUGCAAGGUUGACAGAAUAUUAUCAAAGGUAUGGCUCAGAUACACGUUUAAUUUUCGUUGAGGAUGAUUUUGGAACUCGAUGUACCUGGAAGCAAACAAAAAUAUGGCAUAUACUCAAAAAGAAGGAUAGUCCAGUAAAACCCUGUUUCAUACAAGAAAUCAACAUCAGAAAUAUUAAGAUGGUAUGUAUAUGUGGUACUCGGUCCGCAUAUCACAAUAAGAAGUUUCUGGUGUAAGCAACCCACUUUUCCCUCGCAAGAUACCGGAGAAGCUUCCAAGGCAAGAUUCAUCUAUCUUCCUCAGUACGAUACAUGGAUGACUUCUCGCGCAAGGUACUCUGCCUUCUUCGGUAAGCAACCGCAAAAGCUUCCAGCAUAAGGUACUGAGUCUUUCCCCAGCGAAGUCUUUAAGGGGGUAAGCUUUUGAAGCACGAUACCCAGUCUUCUUCAGCAAGCUGUCCGAUGAAAGUUUCGAGCUCAAGCCAGCAAAUAUUCCUCAGUAAGACAUUGGUACAAGGUAGUACGCUGUGAAUUGACAGCAUAUGGCAGUGAAUCCUAAGAAUCAGAUCCGCAUCAUUUUGGUCAGAAUCAAGAAUCAGUCAGAAUACACGUCUGUCUCGGAAUCAGAUUCUCAUAUAUAUGCGGUGAGCAUACCACCGAGAUCUUACAAGUCACUCGGAGGAGGAUCUGAUAACCACGUGACGAUGAUUAAGAGAAGAAAGCCAGUAUACACCACAGUGUGACAAAGGAUUAUAAGGAUUGACGACAUCAAUGAGCUCAAUACAAGUAUCCGUGAACCUGGAAAAUGAUCCUGAUGAGCCUUUGUCCCCUUUUUCUCCAACGACGGCACCACGCCUGUGAUCUGAGCUGUUUCUACCUAUCCGGGGCGGAUGCGGAUUUUUUUAUUUCUCUCUUUCACGACUGUCACGAGUUCUGAGCUGCUUUUCGACCGUUUCGUACAGCUGUGAGUUUCUUUUUGUGACAGUGGCCCUAUAGCUGCUUUUUGGCUAUUCUAGGGAGCUGCCACCUUCUUCUUAUCGACCCGGUCUCAUGCUCUGAGCUGUUUUUUCGGCUGUCCUGAGCCGUGGUUGAGUUAUGUCAGUAAUGUCCCAGAUCUGAGUGGUAAAGACAGUUCUGGUGGCUACUGAUUUAUUUGCCGAUUUCUUGCAAGGGUUUCGGAUGAUCAUUUCCCAACGAUCAGAACUUGAGAGGUGUUGAACCUGCCAUUUAAUGGGUUACCCUGUCAGAAAAAUGAGGAUAAGCUAUGAUUGCCGAAAAAUUGCACCGACAGUACCUAUGGUCAUACAAAGAAACAAUAUGGCCCAGCUCUUUCAUCCAAAGAUCCAGACCAAGAAAACAAAAAUGAAGGAGCAAGACCAGCGAUGCAGGUAUGAAAAUUGUACACGACCCCCAUGGUGCAGAUCCCCUGGACAGUCUAAGUCAGUGUUGAUCCACAUGGAUAUGCCUACAGCAUGAGUAAUCGGCAUGAGGAAUCACAGUCUGGAAGCCUGAGUCCUCACCUAUAUGAAUGAUCAUGGAUAGCCCGUCGUGAACAAAAAAAUUUCCAUCAGAAACACCGUCAGUCAAGUCUGCAGAUAUUAUCAUAUAGGCCAAACCCUUUAUGCUGGCCGCGACAGGAGACAAUCAAAUAUUUGGUACGGAUCCGAUACUCACGACAAUGGAACCAGUUCAGAAACUUCUGCGAUGAGUCAGAAUCUGUCAGGAAACGGUUAUAUUUUAACUCACUGUUUGGAACCCAAAGGACCUGCAUUUAGUGGAGAAACCCAAUGCAAUGAGUCAGAGCUUGAGUUUUCAUCAUAAAAUUCUGAUCAUCAUUACAUGAAAGGUUGUCAGUGCCGGGUGACACACCCAGCGGAAAUCACUUUUGGAUUUGUGAGACGGACAUAUAUUUCAGUUGUGAAAAUUAAUCACAGUCAGCUAGUCAGCAGAUCUAAAAAGAAAUUGGAGCCUAUAUAAGCAUGAGCAAGCCAGGUAAGAUCUGUCAGAAUGUGGAUACAGUAAAGCAAACCACCCAGGGCCAGUAAGAUAAAAAAAUUAGUGGGAACAAAAAUAAGAAAAAAGAUACCCGAGUUGGAAACGGUUUCCUUAAGUCAGAAUAUUCAUACUUGUUCCCUGAGCAACCAAAUCUCGAGGACGAGAUUUCUUUAAGGGGGUAAGGUUUGUGACAGCCUGAUUUUUGGCCCUUUCUUUUUCUUUUGUUUUUCUGAGGUUUUUGCCUGAGUUUUCUUUUUCCGUGGCUUUGUGGUCUGGAAACUGAAGAAGAUGCCCUCUUCUUUGCUUCCAGAGUGGCUUGUCAUUCCCAAAUCUUUCCCUGGACCCUGUCAUUUCCAUCCUAGCCCAAGUCCCAAUAAUCUUUUUAUUGGGAAUAUUCCUUUUCUAUUGAAGGAAUAACUCCAAUUGCCCUAGGUUGUGAAGCAACCUAUAUUUCCCUCACUCCUAAAAUUCCCAAAUAAUUCUUAUAAAUCGUUUGGGUCAUAUCUUGAUCAAAUAUGGCAAAACUUUUCAUUGCCAUGUUCAAAAAUAAUCCUCCAAUAAUCCAUUUACUAUUCUGCCCCAAAUGGCACAUUGUGAAGCAAGUGCCAUUUUCCUUUGCCCAAUUGACCUCAAACUCCUUGGACAUCUUUUCAUGUCCAUAUCAUUGCCCCAUGCCAAAAUUCAACCUCAUUUGCCUAGUAAUUAUUGAAUUAUGAUUUUCCAAAGUUUCUGUCCAGAAAGAAGCUUUGUGAAGGAGGUACAAGCUAGGCAUAUCAAAAUGAGUUGAAAUUUUGCAUGAUCCUCCAUAUAAUCAUAUAAUAGCCUUAAAACAAAGUAGAGCUCAUAUCAUGCCUCCAUGUGAGCUCAUCUUCAAAUCUUUGUUUCUGCCCAAAAGUUCAGUUUGUGAAGCAAGUAUAUUUUAUCUUGCUCCAUUAUGGCUGCCAAAUUUUAUAGGCCUUAUAUUGUCCAUAUAACCUCCCUCGACCAAUUUGUGGCUCAAUACCUUUGACAAUUUGCCCUGUGGAAUACUUCCAAUUUCUGGUCAGAAUAAAUCUUUCUGAAGCAAGUGCUAUUUUGGUUCAUCCAAAUGGCAUGAAACUCCUUGGGCAUCUGUAUAUCUUCAAAUCAUUGGGCCAUAACCAAUUUGAGCUCAAGUUGAUGCUUCAUCAGAGUGCAUCAUCCUAAUCUAGUUUCUGGACCAGUUUAUGUGGUUGUUAAGCAACUACAUUAAAUCUUGAUCCUAAUCCACUCCAAGCUAUCAGGGUGAAAGUACUUCUUUACCUCAACCUCGCAGACAACUCCAUUGGAUCCAAAACCCUUCCUGUUGAUCACUAGUGCUCACCCAAGUUUACAGCAGUAAACUUCAGAGGGUUCUUACCGUUUAACCAGAUCACUUUUAACCGAGCUACCACCGUAGUUGAGACCUACCCUUGAGAAACUUACCACUAGACAACGUUUUCCAGCUGUUUGCCUCCCCCUCAUGCCAGCACUGGUGGUGACCACCGUUUUGGCAUGCCAUGAGCGCGCCCAGAAUGGCCUCUUGCUCGGGCCCCUCCUUCUCUCGUCGUCUUCGCGCUCGUGAGCGUGUCUACCAUUUGGCCUGCGUCGUCGCCGUCCUGCUGGACCUCUCUCCCCCUCCGUCCGCUUCCUCGUCAGCGCUCGUCGCCGCGCGCCCACGGGUGAGCAGUGCCGACCGAGCUUUAAUGGCGCCGUGGCCGUUUCCCCUCUGCGCCCUCGGCCCCUCCUGCCCUGUGCAUAGUUGUAGCUCGUCCGCACCCCCCUCUCGUCGCGAUCCCGCGCCCUCCCGUGAUCGCUGGCCGUCGCCAGAGCCUCGGCCGGACGUGCCCGGCGGCACCCGAGCCCAUCCCUCUCGCCCGGCUAUAUAUAGCCAUCCCCCGAGCCCUCCGAGCUCACCUCUCGCCUCCCAUCACUCCCAGGACCCCGCCCCACUUCUUCCCCGAGCCGGAGCUGCUCUCCUCGCCUCCCUAUGCAACCAUGGCCGCCGCCUCGGCUCGGCUAAAUUAGCCCGACACCGAGCCUCCCCCUCCGUUCGUCCACCACCACUGGAUUCCCCACUCGCCAGUGAUCCUCCCCAGCCCCUUAUCUAGUCUCCGGAGUAGCUGUGGCUGUCGUCCCCAAGAUCAGCCGCCGCCACCGCGUCCUCUGUUGCCCCAAGCCGCGGCUGCCCUAGUCAUCCCCGGCGCUCCCUUCACUGCGGGAUGGACGCGGCGCCUCCUCCCGAGCCCACCGGUGGCUGCGUCCUCGCCGGAGCCGGCCGGAGCCGGCCGGCCCGUCGCCGGUGACGCGCCCUCCCCUGCCUCCUCUGUCCCGUGCGGGAGCAGGACGAGGAAGAAGAAGACAGAGGCCAGGCGGGCCCUCUUCUCCUCGCGGGCCCCGCGUGGCAGCCUCAGCCCGUUGACCUGGUCUGACCACGUGGAUAAGUGACGGGCCCCACCCCGUGGGACCCGCACACGUCAGCCCCGCCACUGUUCCAAAGGAUAAGGUGAAAGCGUAUUUUUCCAGAUUACCUUUUCACUUUUUCUGUUCAGGCCCCUGGUUGAAAAGAUUUUCAUUACAGAUGGGUCCCUGGCAGAAAAACAUCCAUAUCUUUUUAUCCGUAACUCCGUUUAAGGUGAAAACAACGCUCACUUCUUCGUCUCAUCGAGCCCGUUCUGUUGGUUUCAUUUUCACUAUGGUUUGACACAGUGAAAAUGACCUUUUUGCCCUUGCCCUUAUUCAGCCCUCUCCGAGAGAGAAAGUUUUUCGGCGAUUCGUUCCGCGAGUUUCUCGCACUUUCUCCCGGUGAUUUCUUCCACCCCAGGCAAGCCACAAUACCCACUUGCAUGAUAGUCAUGCAGUAGCCAUGGUUUUCAACUUGAAUAUUUAUUAAAUGUUUGCUUGUUUAAAAUAUGGUUAUCGUUGUUUCGGUAAUGCUUCUGGACUAGUGCUUACUUUCUUGCUAUGUUGUUAUGCACCUGGUUGUCAUGCCCGGCUAGUUGCUAGUAUUCCUUUCAUAUUGCCAUGCUUGAUAGUAGUAUAUGCUGAUGAUGGUGAUGGUCUUCGGUGCAUGACUGUCGUCUGUCCCGAGUACCGUCGUUAUGCAUGUCCCUUUACAUCCAGUUGGUUAAAUGCUUGCAUGAUGGCAUCGUUGAUAUGUUCUUGCAUGACAUUUAUUGUUGAUGCUAGUGGUCAUGCUAUGUUUCGGAGAAGUAUGUACUGGUGAUGUUCAUGCUAGUCAGUACGCCAUGCCCAAUGGAUAUGAUUCAUUGUUGAUAUGGUGGACAGUUAUGAGAUACCCUCAUGAUUGUGUUGAUAUCAUGUUCAUGCAUUUUUAUCAUGACUCAGCAUAUUUGCAUUCAAUUUAACCGGAUUAAAUUGAACUUGAACAACUGUUGGCUGAGUCAUUGUGCCGCUGAAUCGAUGCUGACCAGUGCAACCACGCUUACUGGUAUGGGACGGUCCUAACUGGGUCUAUUGUUGUGCCUCUCGCCGGUGCCUCCAACGAGGGAAGGUUAUGGGCGCGCGCUACCCUGAUCAGGUAGGCGGACAUAACCUUGUGUGCCCGUUGUUGAGUUUGAGUUUUUGGAUCCGUGUCCCCGUGUGGGACGGGCCACGACGGUGGUCGUUGUGUCUUUGGUAGACACGGGGCCACCCAUGACUUAGCCCAGAGGGGAGUGAGUCGGAGUGGCUGGGAGAGUGUCAUGACAGUAGAUCGGUUUUGUCGGAACGCCGUUGGUCCGCCCGAAUGGGAGUGCGAGGCCAUGGGUUCCGUAGUGUGGGUACAGUAUACUAACCUCUGCAGAGUGUAUAUUAAAUCUAUCGAUAGCCGCGCCCGCGGAUAAGGGCCCAGGUCGAAAGUAGGGUACACCAUGAGUCAACAGUAAUAAGAAUAACUUGAUUAAUGACAACCCGUGGUUGUGGUCGGCGUAAGGAUCGCGAUGGUAUCGAGGAUACCGAGUUGUUGGAUAUUCGUGAUGUUGUGCGAGAGUCGUGGGUAAAGAUCAAGCUCCUUGUGGUCAUUUACUGAUCGCUACGGUAUUGUUUAUACCAAGCUUGAUUUGAUCCUGAGAUGAUCGUGUGAUGUCCGAGGUUGGUAAGUGAUGCAUGUGUUGGUUACGAGGUAACCCGAGCAGAAUAAGUAGUGCAUGAUAGUGUCAUCAUGUUGCAUGCUAGUAUUGUCGGAUUAAUAUGUUCAUGUUGUGUUAGCUGUAUCAUGUUUAUGUCGGUGAUGCCAUGUUAUUCUGAUGAUCUCAUGAUAAUUCCUGUUUAACUUGUAAUUGCCAUGCUGUUGUCUGUCUUGAAUGCUUCUGGUUAUUGUGAGCUUGCAAGUACAUUCAAUGUACUGACCUGACAUGUCAUGCCAGUUUGCAGGUCAUGCCGGAUUUGAUUGCUUGCUUGUCGUGGUUCCCGUUCGUGCGAGCUAGGAUAAUCGUUCCAGCCAGAGUCCCUGCGGAGUGGAGUUCACCACCGUCGCCGUUGUUCCGCUGCUAGAGUUAUUCGCUGCUUCGAGUUGUUCUGCUGCUUGCAUACAGCAACUGAGGAUGGCAUAGUGUCGCCGUGCCGAUGUUAUUCAUUGUAAUAUCGGAGACCUUGUAUUCAUUUUCGUGUAAUAAUAGGGAGCUGGUUUGUUCUAUGCUAAGCAGUGCCGUAUUCCAGAAGACUUCUCCUUGAUUUCUGGGCUGGAAUACGGGGCGUUCCGGUUUUCUCUGAGCCGGGGUGCCACAUAAACCCUAGAAGCUAGCCUAUGAUUCUGAUUGUUGUUGGUCCUACGGACUAAACCCUCCGGUUUAUAUAGACACCGGAGGGGGCUAGGGUUACACAGAGUCGGUUACAGAGAAGGAGAUCAACAUA
RNAcentral lists this long non-coding RNA (8728 nucleotides) under Triticum aestivum (bread wheat). RNAcentral's name for it is "long non-coding RNA (TAES_LNC009408)". The record is from RNAcentral. Lineage: Eukaryota; Viridiplantae; Streptophyta; Magnoliopsida; Poales; Poaceae.